Molecule: long non-coding RNA, 3398 nt
Organism: Myxocyprinus asiaticus (Chinese sucker)
Lineage: Eukaryota; Metazoa; Chordata; Actinopteri; Cypriniformes; Catostomidae
Exons: 3
Source: RefSeq, a predicted model, not a curated record
AUUACUUUCAACAGCAGAAUAAGAAUACGAACUUUCUAAUAAGUGACACAGGCCUAGCCUAUCACAAAUAUAGCUGGUUAUUUUUUCAUUAUUGACAUUUUAAUCUGUCUGCUUGUCCAUUCGGGCAAGUAAAAUUCUCUUUCAAUUGCCCCUUCAAAAAUUCACUUGUCCCGGACAAAUGUUAAUGUCGAGCCCUGAUUAAAUAUUGUAUUCAACAUUCUCCGAUAACAAAUGUAUUUUCUGCAUUAUAGCUCCUAAAGUAAAUGUACGUUGUUUUAUAGGAGUUUUAGAUAUUAUUUUAAAAAAGCAAGCCAAAAAAGACUAAUCAAAAACGUAUUUUGUUCCAGUGUAUAAUGGGCUCUCACCUUUAUGCUCACUUCGAUCCAUCUUAAAAAAAAAAAAAAAAAACGUUCUCUUCUUAAUAGAGCUGCGUAUCGCCGAUUUUCUUCAUAAUACAUAUACUAUGAUUCACUACGUCGCAAGCCAUCACGUUAUAAUCUAUCUGACGCAACAAUAUUAAGUGAAUGUAACACUACUGACUAUUAACACUAGUGUAAUUGGAGUAUGAUACUGUAAAUAGGGUAUAGUAAAGUAUUGUAUAGUACAGUAUAGUAUAUAGUGAGCAACAAUUAAGCAAUUUGAGGUGAAUCUGACACAACGAUAUUAAGUGACUGUAACACUACUGACUAUUUACACUAGUGUAAUUAGAGUAUGAUACUGUAAAUAGGGUAUAGUAAAGUACAGUAUAGUAAAGUAUAGUAUAGUAUACAGUGAGCAAUAAUGAAGAAAUUUUAAGUGAAUCUGAUGCAACAACAUUAAGUGAUGUAACACUACUGACUAUUAACACUAGUGUAAUUGGAUUAUGACACUGUAAAUAGGGUAAAGUAUAGUAUAGUACAGUAUAUUAUAUAGUGAGCAAUUAUGAAGCAAUUUGAGAUGAAUCUGAUGCAACGAUAUUAAGUGAACGUAACGCUACUGACUAUUAACACUAGUGUAAUUGGAGUAUGAUACUGUAAAUAGGGUAUAGUAAAGUGCAGUAUAGUAAAGUAUAGUUUAGUAUAUAGUGAGCAAUAAUGAAGAAAUCUUAAGUGAAUCUGAUGCAACAACAUUAAGUGAUGUAACACUACUGACUAUUAACACUGGUGUAAUUGGAUUAUGACACUGUAAAUAGGGUAAAGUAUAGUAUAGUAUAGUAUAGUAUAUAGUGAGCAAUUAUGAAGCAAUUUGAGAUGAAUCUGAUGCAACGAUAUUAAUUGAACGUAACGCUACUGACUAUUAACACUAGUGUAAUUGGAGUAUGAUACUGUAAAUAGGGUAUAGUAAAGUGCAGUAUAGUAAAGUAUAGUUUAGUAUAUAGUGAGCAAUAAUGAAGAAAUCUUAAGUGAAUCUGAUGCAACAACAUUAAGUGAUGUAAUACUACUGACUAUUAACACUAGUGUAAUUGGAUUAUGACACUGUAAAUAGGGUAUAGUAAAGUAUAGUACAGUAUAAUAUAUAGUGAGCAAUAAUGAAGCAAUCUGAGGUGAAUCUGAUGCAACAAUAUUAAGUGAAUGUAAUACUACUGAAUAAUUAACACUAGUGUAAUUGAGUAUGAUACUGUAAAUAGGGUUUAGUAAAGUACAGUAUAGUAAGUAUAUAGUGAGCAAUAAUUAAGCAAUCUAAGGUGAAUCUGAUGCAACAACAUUAAGUGAUGUAACACUACUGACUAUUAACACUAGUGUAAUUGGAUUAUGACACUGUAAAUAGGGUAUAUUAAAGUAUAGUAUAGUGCAGUAUAGUAAGUAUAUAGUGAGCAAUAAUGAAGCAAUUUGAGGUGAAUCUGAUGCAACAACAUUAAGUGAUGUAACACUACUGACUAUUAACACUAGUGUAAUUGGAUUAUGACACUAUAAAUAGGGUAUAUUAAAGUAUAGUAUAGUGCAGUAUAGUAAGUAUAUAGUGAGAAAUAAUGAAGCAAUUUGAGGUGAAUCUGAUGCAACAACAUUAAGUGAUGUAAUACUACUGACUAUUAACACUAGUGUAAUUGGAGUAUGACACUGUAAACAGGGUUUAGUAAAGUAUAGUAUAGUAUAUAGUGAGCAAUAAUGAAGCAAUUUGAGGUGAAUCUGAUGCAACAACAUUAAGUGAUGUAACACUACUGACUAUUAACACUAGUGUAAUUGGAGUAUGACACUGUAAACAGGGUUUAGUAAAGUAUAGUAUAGUAUAUAGUGAGCAAUAAUGAAGCAAUUUGAGGUGAAUCUGAUGCAACAACAUUAAGUGAUGUAACACUACUGACUAUUAACACUAGUGUAAUUGGAUUAUGACACUGUAAAUAGGGUAUAUUAAAGUAUAGUAUAGUGCAGUAUAGUAAGUAUAUAGUGAGCAAUAAUGAAGCAAUUUGAGGUGAAUCUGAUGCAACAACAUUAAGUGAUGUAACACUACUGACUAUUAACACUAGUGUAAUUGGAUUAUGACACUGUAAAUAGGGUAUAUUAAAGUAUAGUAUAGUGCAGUAUAGUAAGUAUAUAGUGAGCAAUAAUGAAGCAAUUUGAGGUGAAUCUGAUGCAACAACAUUAAGUGAUGUAAUACUACUGACUAUUAACACUAGUGUAAUUGGAGUAUGACACUGUAAACAGGGUUUAGUAAAGUAUAGUAUAGUAUAUAGUGAGCAAUAAUGAAGCAAUUUGAGGUGAAUCUGAUGCAACGAUAUUAAGUGAAUGUAAUAUACUGAAUAAUUAACACUAGUGUAAUUGGAGUAUGAUACUGUAAAUAAGGUUUAGUAUAGUAUAUUACAGUUUAUAGUGAGCAAUAAUGAAAAAAUCUGAGGUGAAUCUAAUGCAACAACAUUAAGUGAAUGUAACACUACUAACUAUUAACACUAGUGUAAUUGGAGUAUGAUACUGUAAAUAGGGUAUAGUACAGUACAGUAUAGUAUAGAGUGAGUCUUAAUGGAGCAGUGUGAGGUGAAUCUGACGCAACCAUCUUUAGACAUAAUGUGGAUGUAACACUAGUAAUCUUAUACUAGUACUACUAUUGGAGUAUGGUACUGUAUAUAGAGUAAUAAUGUGAGUAAUAAUUGUGUGCGGUGAAUUUGACGCAACCCUACAGAUAGUAUGUGAAUGUAACACUUCCGGCGUACAGUGAAAUAUUGCAAUAGUGUUAUUGGAGUAUACGAUAUAAUGUAAAUAGUGUAUAAUAUAGUACAGUAUAGUACUGUAUAGUAUAGUAAAUAGAUAGACAUCAUAUGAAUGUAACACUUCAAUUAAAUGUUACAGUAGUACAAGUACAACGAUUAGAGUAUGAUACUGUAUAAAGAGAAAUCAUGUGAGUAAUAAUAGUGUGAGGUGAAUCUGACGCAACCCUCUACAGAUAUGAUGCAUCAUCAUCAUCAUCAUCAUCAUCAUCUCCAUCAUUAA